UCCUGCAGCGUGCAACCACUACUGGGGCAGCUCACGACUCCUCUUGGCCAUGGACCUCAGAGCCCAUACAGGUGAAAUGUGAGACGUAACUUUGCCUUGUGUGGCCCUAAUGAACAUAAGGUGGGCAAAGCUGCUGGAGCAUCCUCAUGCCAUGAUCUUCGAGGAGCAACAUCGCAGCGCAGUGCCUUGUCAUGGUGGGGCAUGGCAUUGAGAGCUGCUGGCCACCAGGAGGGAGACAAAGGGAAGGUGACCAUCUUUCCGAAAUGGAGCAUGUAGCAGCUGCCUGGGAUGCUGCCUUGCAAAAGUGGUGGGGAAGUAUUUACAUUAUUAAACAUUGUGAUGACAAGUGUCUUGGGAUCUUGCAAGGCUGUAUUGCUAAGUAAGGCAACAAGCAGUGUAACUCCUGGCAUGUUUUGAAGUAACUAAAUGGAUCCAAUGACAAUUCAUUUUUUAAUAGAUGAAAGAGAAGCAGGCUUCAAAACAGAUAAUGAAUUUCUUCUAACUCGUCUGGAGACUGAAGAGCCAUAAUUCUGAUUGAUCAGAUAUGGUCUGCUUCAGAGAGGCACCAGAUGUGAUCCAGAUUUUAAAUAGAUGCUGCUACUGUCAAAAUGCAUUCGCUCCCUCCUGGU
RNAcentral lists this long non-coding RNA (629 nucleotides) under Lepidothrix coronata (blue-crowned manakin). RNAcentral describes it as "lncRNA (ENSLCOG00000013280.1)". The record is from RNAcentral. Lineage: Eukaryota; Metazoa; Chordata; Aves; Passeriformes; Pipridae.